GAGUGGUGGGGAGGUCUGGUGGAAAGAACACUGGAGUACAAUGCAGGAGUCCUGUGCUUAGUUCCUGGAUCCCAACAGGACUAAACUGCUGUGUGACCUAGGUGCUGCAUAAAUUGUCAGAUUAUGAUGAUGAUUCCUGUCAGUCCCACCAGUUAACAGCUGAGCUACUUUUCCUUUGGCCACUUUUUGCCACUGGAGGUCACUGCAGACCUAGAGGAGCCCAGGAGAUUGUCGUGAAUGUGGCAGGAAUGUCCAGAACUUCCAGGAAACUGAAAAAUCGGUUGUCUGCACCGUUCUAGAAGCAAGUGGAGACAGGAGAGGUUGUUGCAAGGAAGAAUAUCUCUGGCUCAUGGAAAGCUAUCCCUUACAUGCUGCUUUUCUGGGUCCCUCUUGCUUCUUGCAAAGUUAAGGCCCUGAUUUACCAAAGGACUUAAGUAUAUGCUUAACCUGAAGCACCGUUGGCUUCAAGGAGACUGAAGCUCAUGCUUAAAGUUAAGCAAAUGCUUAAGUGGUUUGCUGAAUCAGGGCCCAACUUCGAUGCACUUGAAGAACCAUAACUGGUGGAGGUUCAAGUACAGCAAACUAAGGAUCUUCCCUGGCACUGCCCCCACACCUAGUUCCACCCUUCAAGUUUGAAUUGAGGGGGUUCAGCAGAGUCAGACAGGAGCAGGGAACAGUCCUGCCUCCCCUUUUAUUGACACCUCAGCAAGAAUCCACAGGUUCUGGCUCUUUGCACCAGUGGACUCGCGCAGAGAUCUCAGCACUGGCUACAAUACUGCAUUUGUUUCACAACUGAGAAUUUUAAACAUCAAGGAGACAUGAAACUUGGAAAGGAAAUCACCUAAUAAAGACAUCUGAGCUUAAUCAUUCCACUCCUGUCCUAAAUGCACCAUAACU
Long non-coding RNA from Dermochelys coriacea (leatherback sea turtle), 897 nucleotides. RefSeq lists it as uncharacterized. The transcript is spliced from 3 exons. Lineage: Eukaryota; Metazoa; Chordata; Testudines; Dermochelyidae. The record is from RefSeq and is a predicted model, not a curated record.